This 24-nucleotide non-coding RNA is filed under the name Arabidopsis thaliana (thale cress). The record is from RNAcentral. Lineage: Eukaryota; Viridiplantae; Streptophyta; Magnoliopsida; Brassicales; Brassicaceae.
AACCGCACCCAAAACUGCACCGCA